UACGAAGGGGGCUAGCGUUGUUUGAAAUUACUGGGCGUAAAGCGCACGUAGGCGGAUCCUUAAGUCAGGGGUGAAAUCCCGAGGCUCAACCUCGGAACUGCCUUUGAUACUGGGGAUAUCGAGUCCGGGAGAGGUGAGUGGAACUGCGAGUGUAGAGGUGAAAUUCGUAGAUAUUCGCAAGAACACCAGUGGCGAAGGCGGCUCACUGGCCCGGUACUGACGCUGAGGUGCGAAAGCGUGGGGAGCAAACAGG
This 253-nucleotide ribosomal RNA is filed under the name uncultured bacterium. RNAcentral describes it as "partial 16S ribosomal RNA". It matches the Rfam family "Bacterial small subunit ribosomal RNA", at positions 524 to 776 of the family's 1533-position model. The record is from RNAcentral.